AGCUCCAAUAGCAUAUAUUAUAGUUGUUGCAGUUAAAAGCUUGUAGUUGGAUUUCUGACUAGGUGUGUGGGACCGUUCUUACAAGUGUGUACAAUACAUGGCUGGCCACCCAUUGGGGGAGCCAGAGUGGCACUAAGUUUUUGGUGUGGGGAUCCCAAUCCUUUACUGUGAAAAAAAUAGAGUGUUCAAAGCAGGCUAACGCCGUUAAAUACAUUAGCAUGAAAUAAUAACAUAGGAAGAUGGUACUAUAUUUUUGGUUUGUGCACAAUAGUAAUUAUUAAUAGGGACAGUUGGGGGUAUUUGUAUUCCAUUGUGAGAGAUUAAAUUCUUUAAUUUUUUAAGACAAACUACUGUGAAAGCAUUUACCCAAGAUGUUUUAA
Molecule: ribosomal RNA, 380 nt
Filed under: uncultured eukaryote
Lineage: Eukaryota
Description: partial small subunit ribosomal RNA
Rfam family: Eukaryotic small subunit ribosomal RNA
Source: RNAcentral